GGUAGUACUAACAGGAUUCCCCUAGUAGCGGCGAGCGAAGCGGGAAGAGCUCAAAUUUGUAAUCUGGCGUGCUCAGUGCGUCCGAGUUGUAAUCUAUAGAAACGUUUUCCGUGCCGGACCGUGUCCAAGUCCCUUGGAACAGGGUAUCAAAGAGGGUGACAAUCCCGUACUUGACACGACGACCGGUGCUCUGUGAUACGUUUUCUACGAGUCGAGUUGUUUGGGAAUGCAGCUCAAAAUGGGUGGUAAAUUCCAUCUAAAGCUAAAUAUAGGCGAGAGACCGAUAGCGAACAAGUACCGUGAGGGAAAGAUGAAAAGCACUUUGGAAAGAGAGUUAAACAGUAUGUGAAAUUGUUGAAAGGGAAACGAUUGAAGUCAGUCAUGUUCAUUGGAUUCAGCUGGUUCUGCCAGUGUAUUUCCUUUGAACGGGUCAACAUCAGUUUGAGCCGGCGGAUAAUGGCAGAGGGAAUGUGGCACCUCCGGGUGUGUUAUAGCCCUUUGUCGCAUACGUCGGCCCAGACUGAGGAAUGCAGCUCGCCUUUAUGGCCGGGGUUCGCCCACGUACGAGCUUAGGAUGUUGGCAUAAUGGCUUUAAACGACCCGUCUUGAAACACGGACCAAGGAGUCUAACAUACCUGCGAGUGUUUGGGUGUCAAACCCGGA
This 663-nucleotide ribosomal RNA is filed under the name Saitozyma paraflava. RNAcentral's name for it is "LSU rRNA". It matches the Rfam family "Eukaryotic large subunit ribosomal RNA", at positions 52 to 712 of the family's 3401-position model. The record is from RNAcentral. Lineage: Eukaryota; Fungi; Basidiomycota; Tremellomycetes; Tremellales; Trimorphomycetaceae.